GAUGAACGCUGGCGGCGUGCCUAAUACAUGCAAGUCGAGCGAACGGACGAGAAGCUUGCUUCUCUGAUGUUAGCGGCGGACGGGUGAGUAACACGUGGAUAACCUACCUAUAAGACUGGGAUAACUUCGGGAAACCGGAGCUAAUACCGGAUGAUAUUUUGAACCGCAUGGUUCAAAAGUGAAGGACGGUCUUGCUGUCACUUAUAGAUGGAUCCGCGCUGCAUUAGCUAGUUGGUAAGGUAACGGCUUACCAAGGCAACGAUGCAUAGCCGACCUGAGAGGGUGAUCGGCCACACUGGAACUUAGACACGGUCCAGACUCCUACGGGAGGCAGCAGUAGGGAAUCUUACGCAAUGGGCGAAAGCCUGACGGAGCAACGCCGCGUGAGUGAUGAAGGUCUUCGGAUCGUAAAAAUCUGUUAUUAGGGAAGAACAUAUGUGUAAGUAACUGUGCACAUCUUGACGGUACCUAAUCAGAAAGCCACGGCUAACUACGUG
Molecule: ribosomal RNA, 497 nt
Filed under: uncultured bacterium
Lineage: Bacteria
Description: partial 16S ribosomal RNA
Rfam family: Bacterial small subunit ribosomal RNA
Source: RNAcentral